This 355-nucleotide ribosomal RNA is filed under the name Glomus sp. (unid). The record is from RNAcentral. Lineage: Eukaryota; Fungi; Glomeromycota; Glomeromycetes; Glomerales; Glomeraceae.
CAGUCGUACCGACGAGAAUUCAACUCUUCGAGUGCUAACUUGUGGACGUGCGUGAGCUUUAAAACCUCGCUGUUUGCAACGUUUGUAUUUUUUGGGUGUACUUUUUCGUAUGGUAGGCCAAUGUCAGUUUUGAUCACCAUAAAAUGAUCGGAAGAAUGUAGCUUCGAUCUCGUAUUGAAGUGUUAUAGCUUCUGGUAGAUAUGGUGACCGGAACUGAGGAUUGCAACGAAUACCCUUUGGGCUAUCCGUCUGACCUCUGAAAGUUGCUUAGGUCGCCGAAAGCAUGCUUACGGUUAUUUAAGUGACGGUCAACAGGUUAAACGCGAUUACAUUCGUAAGGACGUUGGCGUAAUGG